RNAcentral lists this ribosomal RNA (482 nucleotides) under Galkinius indicus. RNAcentral describes it as "partial 12S small subunit ribosomal RNA". The record is from RNAcentral. Lineage: Eukaryota; Metazoa; Arthropoda; Thecostraca; Balanomorpha; Pyrgomatidae.
GUUUUAAUAUUUUAGGAGUUUUUUAAAUAUUAUUAGGUAGAAUUUUUAAUGUUUAAAAUAUACAUAGCUUUUAAAUCAUAAAAAUUAUGAUAUGGACCAGGAUUAGAUACCCUGUUACUCAUAAAUAAUAAAUUUUGGAAUAGUAAUAAUGAUGAAAUUUAACGGAUUUGGCGGCAAGAUAGCCAUUUAGAGGAACCUGCCCUAUAAACGAUGGUCCACGAAAACUUUACUUUUUCUGGUAAUCAGUUUGUAUACCGCUGUUGUCAGUCAGUUUCUUUAGAAAACUUUCUAUUAUGAAAAAAUCAUAGACUUCAAGUAAAGGUGCAGCUUAUGAGAAAGAUAGAGGUGGGUUACAUUUAUUAGAUUAAUACAAAUAAAGUUUAUGAAAUAUCUUUUGAAGGUGGAUUUAAUUGUAAAGUUUAAGAAAACUUGAUGUGAGCUCUAUCUUGUGUACACACCGCCCGUCGCUCUCUUUUUUAAAC